CCCAAUGUAUUCUGGUUAUAACGAUGGUAACGUUAGUACGAUUGGAAACAUUUAAGACAUUACGAUCAAUUGAAUAGAUAAAUGGUUUGAUGAUACAAUUGAACGGUUGAUAAUUAGAGGUGUUUUAAAAUGGGGAAAGGAAAGGAAACCUGAAAAUUAAAGAUCAGAAUCAUUAAUUGAUACUUAAUUGUUGUGUUCAACAUUGAAAAUGAGGAAUCAAAAAUUAUAUUUUUGAAGAUGUUCUGCUUUAUACUUUUACUGUUGUUAAAUUGUUCAAUUAUCAACUGCACAUCUUUGGUGGGAUCAAGAGCUUCAGGUCACAGUGAUACCAAUAGGAUUAUUCAUGCAUCUUUAACGGACAAGGACACUGGCCACGUUUGGCAAAUGCAAGAAUGGGUUUACUCAGGAAGUCCAAGGGCUGGACGAAUCGAAAUAAAAUCAGAUGAAAAUGAAGCCAAUGUCUUCUAUUCGUA
This is a non-coding RNA of Tetranychus urticae (two-spotted spider mite), 473 nucleotides long. Lineage: Eukaryota; Metazoa; Arthropoda; Arachnida; Trombidiformes; Tetranychidae. The record is from RefSeq and is a predicted model, not a curated record.